UACCAGCACCCCGAGUGGUCGGGGCGAUUAUUGGGCCUAAAGCAUCCGUAGCCGGCCCUACAAGUCUUCCGUUAAAUCCACCUGCUUAACAGAUGGGCUGCGGAAGAUACUAUAGGGCUAGGAGGCGGGAGAGGCAAGCGGUACUCAGUGGGUAGGGGUAAAAUCCUCUGAUCCACUGAAGACCACCAGUGGCGAAGGCGGCUUGCCAGAACGCGCUCGACGGUGAGGGAUGAAAGCUGGGGGAGCAAACCGG
This 253-nucleotide ribosomal RNA is filed under the name uncultured bacterium. RNAcentral describes it as "partial 16S ribosomal RNA". It matches the Rfam family "Archaeal small subunit ribosomal RNA", at positions 474 to 727 of the family's 1478-position model. The record is from RNAcentral.